Molecule: ribosomal RNA, 301 nt
Filed under: uncultured bacterium
Lineage: Bacteria
Description: partial 16S ribosomal RNA
Rfam family: Bacterial small subunit ribosomal RNA
Source: RNAcentral
CAGCAGCCACGGGAAUACAGAGGGUGCAAGCGUUAAUCGGAUUUACUGGGCGUAAAGCGUGCGUAGGCGGCUUUUUAAGUCGGAUGUGAAAUCCCUGAGCUUAACUUAGGAAUUGCAUUCGAUACUGGGAAGCUAGAGUAUGGGAGAGGAUGGUAGAAUUCCAGGUGUAGCGGUGAAAUGCGUAGAGAUCUGGAGGAAUACCGAUGGCGAAGGCAGCCAUCUGGCCUAAUACUGACGCUGAGGUACGAAAGCAUGGGGAGCAAACAGGAUUAGAUACCCCAGUAGUCCCUGUCUCUUAUAC